AACUGUUGCACUGGUUCACUAUCCGCCAUAUGAGGAGCGUCAUUCGAUGCUGCCGCAGUGUGAGCGCAGGAGCUGCAUGCGCACUCAACAAGCCCUAAAAAACGGAGAAAUCUGUGCGCUUUAGAGGCUAAGGACAUUAAUAGUAUAAUUAACAUUUAAUGCUCGUAACAGUAGGCCUAUAGCCAAUACACUUAAACAACGCGAAUACAAUCAAAUAUAAUCUAAAAUUAUUAGUAUUGCCACCAUCAGCAAUCUUAAUAGGCUAUGUUCGCAAUAUCCGUCAAGUGACACACGGCACGGGACUCCUGUACGCGCCGCACGCGCUAAAGAGUUCCGUGACACUGACGAACUGUUCACCAGCAGCAGGAGGAGAGGGAUGAGGGCAGCAUGGAUUACUCCCUCUCCACUGGGUUAAGAUGCUUACCAACUAAUUACCUUUCCAUCUGAAAAUCCCCGACCACGCAGCCCCAACAGACGGAGUGCUAGGAGAGAUCAAGAGAUAGAGGGACGGGGAGGCCGGUGGUGGAAAGAGGAGAGGAUGGGUGUUUGUGUUUCUUUUUUCAUUUCAGGAUGAGGAUGCUGUCCUUUGGGUGAUGUGGCCUUCGUUCAGGUAUAGAGCUAUUCCUCGAAGAGGGGGAGGUAGGGAGAGAGGGGUCUAUUGAUGAUUUCUUCCAGAAGUGGGAAGAGGAGCUCUGGGACCCAUUUGGAGCAUCUCAAAAAUCACUUAGUGCAUCAUUCCACACGGCUGUGAUCAAUCUUCGAGCUGGGUAGUGGGUCUGCAUGGCACAGAGAUGAAUGUCUGCCCCUUUCUCCAUGUCCCGAUAAGGGAUGUUUGUUGUAACCUGUUUGUUUUAACCCGAUGGACAGAAGGCAUGUGCAACGCAGCCCAUGAGGACAUGGAUAUAAGAAACUUGUUGCGGAUUUUAAGAUUUUAAGUCGUAGUAUUGAAUACAUGGCUAAUGCUGUGUUGAACGACAUGUUGGAACACAUUCUUUUAGAACACAUAGAGAAUAAUUAUUCUCUGUGUAGUGUGGAGUAAGGUCUGGUGUUCGAGUCAUGCAUUUCAUUCAAGCUCUGCCUUUCUGCCCCGUCCAUUCCCCUUUUGUUGAUCAGAAACAAGGUAGAAGAUGUAAGCAAUAAUUUGACUUGAGUUUCUAUCAUAUUUCUCUGACCUAUCCAAGUUCACAGGGGCGGGCGGCCUGUCCAUCUGGCAUUUUGGGUAAUGCCAGAUGGGCUGGUCAAUUUUUAGCCCAGUUGGACUGUCUAACUUGUGCCCCUCAAGGAACAAAAUGGGCUGGUGUGGGGGCCUCAAAGAAAAACAGAGUGGCUGUGGUUCUGGAUCUUCUGUAACCCGACUUUCUGUUUCUAAAAAUAAGACGUAGAUUUCUGCAUAUGCGGGAUCCACUAGCCUACCUCCUUUCAGCUGUUGUUCAGUAAUAAUGGGAAGUUCUUACCGACUCAGAACUUUUUGACUCAGUCAAAAGAAUGAAUCAUUCCAUUCCUUUGAUUCAGUAAUGCCCAGAGCAUGCAGGACCCCUACCGGCGAACGAUGAACUAAAAGCUCGAAGGAAUCAUGAUUGCACAAGUCUCUCAUUCCCCAUAGGAGGCUUAUUGGAGCUGCCAUUUGUGACUGAAACGUAUAAAACUGUGCUUCAUACAAUGUACAUUUGUGAUUGCUAAGCAUACAAAUACGAUUAUUCAUCGAUACAUUUGAAACAAGGUCUUGUUGCAGCCGGACUAGAUUGUGUGAACGACUCUUGGCGGAAUGCUUGACUGCCGCGAGGGAGAUCAGCAAUAUAUUGUUUACGAACUGCAGCAGCCCACCAAAACGAUUUUUAUGGAGUGUUGGGCAGAGUCAGGCUGUGUAUGUUUUGAUUCUACAAAGCUGUGUCCAUCGAAAAACAUUCAAUAAUCAAAUCAUUGCAUUCAUUCUGUCAGAAUGCGAUCACCUAUCAGUUCUAAACACAGUAUUUCCUUUUCUGCUGCCUGUAUUUGUCUGUGCUCACAUGAUAGACAGUUGGUAGACACGUAUUAGUCCUACUUUAGAAUUUUUUGGUGGCCAACAGGUCAAAAGAACGACUAAAAUGAACGAGUCACUCGGAAAAACGAAUCGUGACUCUCGAGUCAGUUAAAAGAGUAGUUCAAAAAGAACGGAUGGUUCACAAACUGCACAUCACUACUGCUCAGUGCUCAGUCACUCCGUGACGCCACUGCCGCUCGCACACAAGACAGGUAGUCAAUAGCAAUUUAAUGGUUUAAAAAAUAAAUAAUUAUAAUCAUUGCAAACAUAGGCUAAACAGGAGGGAGACUACAGUGCUGGUAAAAUGGCAGCAUAGCUAUAAAGAUUACAUCCCCACUCAAAAUGCUAAUUGUUUUGCCCCAAUGCAAUGUGUAGACUGCGUCUUGCUUGUGCAAUAUCAGUUACAGAGAAGGUUGUAGCCUUCAUAUAUAUUUUUGGAACGCUCAUUUUUGCAGUUGUUCAGAAAUAUGAGGCAGAGACAUAAGGCUGGUUUACAGUUGGUCGAUCGACAUGUCUGUAAACAGUUAUCGCAGUGACAUCAUGAACAUUCUAUUGUCAUCCGACAUCAAACUUGUUGUCGUCGUUAUGAGUAUAAAAGUAUAAACACAAAAUGACAACCUGUGCAUAACAUCAGCAUUCUGGUGUUCCAAAUAGAGUACUUGCUCUAUUUGAACACCAAUAAACCCAACAUUUAAAAAAUGAAUUUAAUAAAUGUCAACCUAGCAAGCCAGGCAACAAUGUUUUGGUUCAUUGUCAGCUAGCUGGCUAGCCAAUUAAAAUUUGGGCCAGAGUACAGCUGACAACAUCUUAACUUUAGCUGCUUUUUAUGAAUUAUUACAGGAAAAUAAACCAACGACCACAACACACCACAUUAUUCACAAGGUAAAAUUGCUUACGGUUGUGAGUUUAACAAAGGGUGUGUUGGUAAAUUCACUCUGGAGUGCCAGAGUGUGCUCAUAGUGCGCUCUGGGCAUUCUUAAACUCAGUAUUGUCAGAUUGUCCAUUUGUAAAUUCACUCUCGGAGAGUUCAGAGCGCACACUGGACGCUCUGGCUGAGGAGUAGGGUUGAUCCGAGAAUUUCUGACCACACAAUGGCAUUCAAGCUCCCAAUCUAACUGGUUAACGUUGGCUAGCUUGCUAGCUACUUCCAGACACAAAUGAGAGAACACCUCACUCUGACCAUUUAACUUGCCCUAGCACAGCUGGUUAGACUGUUUUCAUGUUAUCCAGAGCGUUGGUGACUGCAACAGUGCUGCUGGCAACCAUUUAAAUACGUUUUUUUGCUGACGUUUAGCGACACCGGCCAUAGUCAACGGGUGUUGAGCAUUCGUAAAUGAAUCAGUUAUUCUGCGCUCUGGCACACUCAGAUUAGAGUGCUCUGAAAUUGGAGUAGAUAGCCAGAGUGAAAUUACGAACACGGCCAAAAUAAAAGUAGGUAUUUUUUUCGGAGAAUUUUAGAACUCCUGUUGCCCUGCACCUUCUUGCCACAGAGGGAUUUAGUCUUGUUGCUGUAGCAGCCCAGUAACCACAACAACGGACAUUGCGACAGUCACAGAGACAUUCAUUUUUUUUCAUGUCUGUGCAACGAUGAAACCGAGUUGCAGCGACAGUCUACAGACAUUCCACCGGACUAUAAAUUAAAUGUAGUUUUGACCAGCGAUACUUGUCGCGUUCAAUUUGUCUACAGACAUGUCGUUAGACCAAGUAUAAACUGCUCUAUAGGCUACAUCAUCAUAUCGAUCAAAUUUGUUUGAGGGUUCAGAAGAGGGUGAGUGAAGAGAGAAACGUGAAUGUUUAUGUAAAAUAGCACAUGCACAGAACGUGGUUCGGAUCCUUAGUUUCGAGAAGUUUCCAGAGGGGUGUGGCAGAGGCGAAAACUCAGUAUGUGUUGCCUCGGCCAAGAAAAAAAAGGUCCGGAGUGUUUCAACUGACAAGACCGAUUUCUGAUCCCAGUCCGCCCCUGUGGAUCUGUGAUGGGAAUAAACAAAGACAGAAGGUAGGCAACAACUUCCUGGAUUGAAACACAGCUCUGCCAUGUUCUGUGUUUUGUCCUGCCCUGCACGGAUGUAGUAGGCUACCCAUGCAGCAUUCCCUGGUGCUGGGCUGAUGACUCCUCCUGUUCUGUGUAUGGCACUGGUAGAAUUCACUGUGAAGGCACACUAUCAGUGAAUUACCAUAGGGCCAUAAACAGAGUAGAGAAAUAACCAAAUUACCCAACAUGCAUCGCUGACACUGUCCCUUACCCUCUGCCCUCUUUACAUUCUAUACACCAACUGUGUAAAAUUCAGUGUUGAUGAAAGUCUAUGACCAUGAUUGUGUUCUAACAGCUGUGGUGAGACAAACAACUUGCUAUUCAUCCAACUAUUUUAGUUUUCUUCAGGCUGGUGCUGUUGUUUAAGACAUGGCCUCCACUCGUCUUCUUUUCCCAUUUUGGCACUAGCACAUUUUUGCUUCUGUAUAUAUCGGUUUGAGCAAUCAUGUGUAGUGCCAAUAUAGGAGGACACAGACACUCAACACUUGUCUUUUUGGUUUGUUUGAACGGAGGUUGUAUAGAACGUGGAAUAGUGAUACGUAGGUGAUAGGUCCUGUAAUCAAUGUGCAGUGUCAGUGAUUUGACAGAAGCUGAGGGUGGGAACAAUGACUUUGUUUCUUUAGAUUCAUGAGUACUUGAUCACAAUUUUUCUUUAUCUUUCCUACGGACAGUGAGAGAGACAGACAAAGAGAUAGGUAACUCCAGAGGGAAUGAAAAAGAGAGCGAGAGACCGCAGAGGAUGAUCUAUAGAUCAAUGGUCUUGGUCCUCUCCUAUAUCUCUGGUUGCUAUGGAGGUCUAUACUCUGUUCCAGAGGCCCUGAACGCUGUAACCCGAGCUGUAGUCUCAGACACAGACCUCAUGACUCACACAGAGCCUUAUGAUGCUCUCAGACUUAAUGCAUUCAAACCAUUCAAGUUCCAGGGGCUUCCUAGGAUGAUCAUUAUUAAUAACUCCUUUGUGACUUCUGGGCAAUUCUCCUGACCAAUAAUAAUCAACAGAAUGUGCUCCACCGGUGUAUUUAUGGUCGCCCCGCUCACCCCGGUUUUUGGCAAUGGUAGAACUCACACUGGUGGGAUAGAUGGAUCCGGUGGUUCUAGACUUGCCAACAACUGACUAAGAGCUUACCAGCCAGCCAGAUCCACCCGGCAACCACCCCCUUAAGCCAAGAUGUUGAUGGAGUUAAACGACAAGAAUGACAUUGCAGCCUUUGAUGGCCAGAGUUCUUUUAAACCUGAAACACGACAGGAGUGUCAGGUGAGCGUGACUAAUUGAGUGUUGAUUGGAUGAGGCAGAGAGAGGAGGGGUGUGUGUGACAGGUGUGUAAGUGACUGUGGGUGGAGCAGAGAGAGGGUUAAACAGACUGUCCCCUCCUGCACCCAUACAGUCUCAGAACACUCAUCACCAUGGAGGCUGGGAAGAACACAGCCAUAACUGAGGUUUUGUGGCCCACCUAAAGCCUUCUGGGGUUUAGACACACAGACAGACUUCUUCAGUGUGGCGGCCAAAUUAUGGGCAGAAGAACAAGCAUCACUCAUCCUCUUGUUUUGACUCUUCUCUCCCAUAGGUCCCAGGGUUCUCAGUAGCUGUGUGCCAUCCCCCCGGGGCAUCUGCGCUAUGAUUAGCUGAUUAUAACAUACACUCCCAGAGUAACCUUACACUUGACAGAGGAGUGUGUGUGAGUACGUCUCAGCAAUAGGGGCUGUAACAGAGAUCCAUACACACCUCCAUGAACCAUUUACCUCACUGGAAUGAGAAGUGCAUCCUACCGAGAUUUGCCUCAGUCAACGAAUCAGUCAAUCAAUUUGAUUGAUUCAUGUACUUUUCCAGUCGUAGGGAUGGUUUUGGCUGGGGCUCGAGAUGGAGCUGGAGUAUAGGGCUGGGGCUCGGCAGUGCGUGUAGUGGAGUAUGUAGCAGUGAUGUGCGGUGGAUUAGAGCCUGCGUUGUCCCUGCAACAGCAGAAGGGCCUGCUGUAAAUCCUGGGCUUUAACGGUAGCCACAGCCACCGCAGCUUAUGAUGCAACCAGCUCCCCCUCUACGGCACCACGAAAGGGGAGUGAGAGGGGAGGAGAGCAGGGGGUAGGUUGAGAAAGGAGAGGAGAAGAGAAUAGUAGGGUGCAAAGUGGUCUUGAUGAUGUCAUUUUGACACAAAUCAGCUUUCAAACACUGCAGUUCAUCAGGUUCAACACAGAAUGGGGAUGUUCACACACACACAUGCACGGAUGCACACACAAAUCCAUAGCACAUGGUUAAACUGGUGGCUAUAGUGAGAGGGCAGUGUGCUGCUGACACACUGACAUCUGCUGGUGGUGAUUAGACCAUGUAGCCAUGAUGGAGGGGAUCAAAGACACACACACACACAAAACCACCUCCACUUCAUCCUGUGACAGCUCUGUCUACUGGGUUUUGCUGUGCUUACUUCCUGCAGGAGACUGGUGUGCGGAGUAGUAGAGGUGGGAGGAGCUGGGAGGGUCGUCAGUGCUGAUGGGGCACACCUGUGAAAGCUCAGCAGUAGCAUGAGCCACUGCUUCCCCAUUCAGCAAGAGAAGCUUACCUUUGGUUUACCUUUGGCUUACCUUUGGUUGUUUCAUUGUGGCUUUGGCAGUUGACACCUAAUUUACUGACCUUCAUGCCUCAUCUGAUUAUUGUUUUGAGUGUUUACUUUAUUUAUGGAAUAAAUUCAUUUUGUUAAUC
Oncorhynchus nerka (sockeye salmon) is the source of this 6744-nucleotide long non-coding RNA. RefSeq lists it as uncharacterized. The record is from RefSeq and is a predicted model, not a curated record. NCBI's taxonomy places the organism in Eukaryota, Metazoa, Chordata, Actinopteri, Salmoniformes, Salmonidae. The transcript is spliced from 2 exons.